This 378-nucleotide unclassified non-coding RNA is filed under the name air metagenome. RNAcentral's name for it is "partial contains small subunit ribosomal RNA, internal transcribed spacer 1, and 5.8S ribosomal RNA". The stretch from base 1 to 46 matches the Rfam family "Eukaryotic small subunit ribosomal RNA", at positions 1786 to 1831 of the family's 1831-position model. The record is from RNAcentral.
AAGUCGUAACAAGGUUUCCGUAGGUGAACCUGCGGAAGGAUCAUUAUUGAAGUUGAACCACUGGUUGUUGCUGGCUCUUAGGAGCAUGUGCACGCUGGUAUCGCUUUACUUUUCCCCUUUGUGCACCUUUGGCUAGUUCACAUGUGUGGUUUCAGAAAGUGAGAGACUUAGUGCUUACGCAUUAUAACUUGUUGAUCUUUUCGCCUUGAUAAGUUUAGAGCUUUGCGCCUUAGCUUUGCUUGUUGACAACUUGGAUAGGUUUACUACUAGUGUUCUAUGCACCCUUUAUAAACGUAUGUCUAAGAAUGUCAUUGUUUACUAGGUCUCAGUACCUGUAAAUCAUCUAUACAACUUUUAGCAACGGAUCUCUUGGCUCUC